Molecule: ribosomal RNA, 444 nt
Filed under: uncultured bacterium
Lineage: Bacteria
Description: bacterial SSU rRNA
Rfam family: Bacterial small subunit ribosomal RNA
Source: RNAcentral
UCCUACGGGAGGCAGCAGUGAGGAAUAUUGCGCAAUGGGCGAAAGCCAGACGCAGCAACGCCGCGUGAACGAUGAAGGCCUUCGGGUCGUAAAGUUCUUUUCAGGGGGACGAGCAGGGACGGUACCCCUGGAAUAAGUCACGGCUAACUACGUGCCAGCAGCCGCGGUAAAACGUAGGUGGCGAGCGUUAUCCGGAUUCACUGGGCGUAAAGGGCCUGCAGGCGGCUCUGUAAGUGGGAUGUGAAAUCUCCUGGCUCAACUGGGAGGGGUCAUUCCAUACUGCGGGGCUGGAGGGCAGAAGAGGGAAGUGGAAUUCCCGGUGUAGUGGUGAAAUGCGUAGAUAUCGGGAGGAACACCAGUGGCGAAGGCGACUUCCUGGUCUGCACCUGACGCUAAGAGGCGAAAGCUAGGGGAGCGAACGGGAUUAGAUACCCGGGUAGUCCC